Molecule: small RNA, 684 nt
Filed under: Saccharomyces paradoxus NRRL Y-17217
Lineage: Eukaryota; Fungi; Ascomycota; Saccharomycetes; Saccharomycetales; Saccharomycetaceae
Description: RNA of unknown function 21
Rfam family: RNA of unknown function 21
Source: Rfam by way of RNAcentral
GUUUUCCAUUUUCUACAAAUUAAAAAAAGAAAAAAAACCGAAAUAGUGAAAAAUUCGGGGUUGGCCUUGGCUAAACUGACCCACCCACAAUUUAUCCAAAAAAUUUAUCCACCUAACCCCAGAUCACUGCAAACGAAAUGUAUAUCACUAUUCACGCGUGGUUCCAAUUAUGGCGGCUAGAUGACGAAGGCUUGAUCAGCUACUGCUGUAAAAUAAUGAAACUAAAAGCGCCGUAUUGUUGAUAAUCUACCCAUGGCAUGUACAGGGAACAGUGUGCUUGUGAGAGGGACAAUCCAAAGCAGUAGGUUUUUGUUUAUGAUUGGUUUAUAACAGAAUUUUGGGGAAAAAGGGGGACACCAUAAGUGCAUGUUUCAAAACUAUUAAUAUGUUGUAGCCUUCUUUCUUCAAACAUUGCACUCUGUUGUUGCUUUUCCUUAAGAAAUCUUUUCUCCAAAUAACACCUUGAUUCUUUUUUAUCGGUCUCCUUAUAUAUAUAUAUAUAUACCAAUACUCGGGGUGUCUUUUUUAGCCGCCGAUGUGAGGAUCGAAAAUCAUUAUCUCGAAAGGGUAAAGGUUGUUAAGAUAGUAUAUACAUAUACAUAUACAUAUAUAUAUAUACAUAUAUAUAUAUAUUGAAUUACAUACUUCAAUAAGGAAUGGUAUAAGAUUUUUCGUACGGUAAUA